RNAcentral lists this ribosomal RNA (857 nucleotides) under Exserohilum mcginnisii. RNAcentral's name for it is "partial 28S ribosomal RNA". It matches the Rfam family "Eukaryotic large subunit ribosomal RNA", at positions 66 to 941 of the family's 3401-position model. Lineage: Eukaryota; Fungi; Ascomycota; Dothideomycetes; Pleosporales; Pleosporaceae. The record is from RNAcentral. RNAcentral also lists the same sequence under 1 other name.
CAACAGGGAUUGCCCUAGUAACGGCGAGUGAAGCGGCAACAGCUCAAAUUUGAAAUCUGGCUCUUUCAGAGUCCGAGUUGUAAUUUGCAGAGGGCGCUUUGGCUUUGGCAGCGGUCCAAGUUCCUUGGAACAGGACGUCACAGAGGGUGAGAAUCCCGUACGUGGUCGCUAGCUAUUGCCGUGUAAAGCCCCUUCGACGAGUCGAGUUGUUUGGGAAUGCAGCUCUAAAUGGGAGGUAAAUUUCUUCUAAAGCUAAAUAUUGGCCAGAGACCGAUAGCGCACAAGUAGAGUGAUCGAAAGAUGAAAAGCACUUUGGAAAGAGAGUCAAACAGCACGUGAAAUUGUUGAAAGGGAAGCGCUUGCAGCCAGACUUGCUUGCAGUUGCUCAUCCGGGCUUUUGCCCGGUGCACUCUUCUGCAGGCAGGCCAGCAUCAGUUUGGGCGGUGGGAUAAAGGUCUCUGUCAUGUACCUCUCUUCGGGGAGGCCUUAUAGGGGAGGCGACAUACCACCAGCCUAGACUGAGGUCCGCGCAUCUGCUAGGAUGCUGGCGUAAUGGCUGUAAGCGGCCCGUCUUGAAACACGGACCAAGGAGUCUAACAUCUAUGCGAGUGUUUGGGUGUCAAGCCCGAGCGCGUAAUGAAAGUGAACGGAGGUGGGAACCCGCAAGGGUGCACCAUCGACCGAUCCUGAAGUUUACGGAAGGAUUUGAGUAAGAGCAUGGCUGUUGGGACCCGAAAGAUGGUGAACUAUGCUUGAAUAGGGUGAAGCCAGAGGAAACUCUGGUGGAGGCUCGCAGCGGUUCUGACGUGCAAAUCGAUCGUCAAAUUUGGGCAUAGGGGCGAAAGACUAAUCGAACU